UACGGAGGGUGCGAGCGUUGUCCGGAUUUAUUGGGUUUAAAGGGUGCGUAGGUGGCUUUUUAAGUCAGUGGUGAAAUACAGCCGCUCAACGGUUGAGGUGCCAUUGAUACUGAAGAGCUUGAAACAAGUGGAGGCUGCCGGAAUGGAUGGUGUAGCGGUGAAAUGCAUAGAUAUCAUCCAGAACACCGAUUGCGAAGGCAGGUGGCUACGUUUGAUUUGACACUGAGGCACGAAAGCAUGGGGAGCAAAC
RNAcentral lists this ribosomal RNA (250 nucleotides) under uncultured Dyadobacter sp. Its description in RNAcentral is "partial 16S ribosomal RNA". It matches the Rfam family "Bacterial small subunit ribosomal RNA", at positions 524 to 773 of the family's 1533-position model. Lineage: Bacteria; Pseudomonadati; Bacteroidota; Cytophagia; Cytophagales; Spirosomataceae. The record is from RNAcentral.